This 253-nucleotide ribosomal RNA is filed under the name uncultured bacterium. RNAcentral describes it as "partial 16S ribosomal RNA". It matches the Rfam family "Bacterial small subunit ribosomal RNA", at positions 524 to 776 of the family's 1533-position model. The record is from RNAcentral.
UACGAAGGGGGCUAGCGUUGUUCGGAAUUACUGGGCGUAAAGCGCGCGCAGGCGGCUAUCCAAGUCAGUGGUGAAAGCCCGGAGCUCAACUCCGGAACUGCCAUUGAAACUGUUUAGCUUGAGGAUGAGAGAGGUGAGUGGAAUUCCCAGUGUAGAGGUGAAAUUCGUAGAUAUUGGGAGGAACACCGGUGGCGAAGGCGGCCAUCUGGACGGCUAUUGACGCUGAGACGCGAAAGCGUGGGGAGCAAACAGG